UACGGGGGGGGCAAUCGUUGUUCGGAAUUACUGGGCGUAAAGGGCUCGUAGGCGGCCAACUAAGUCAGACGUGAAAUCCCCAGGCUCAACCUGGGAACUGCGUCUGAUACUGGAUGGCUUGAAUCCGGGAGAGGGAUGCAGAAUUCCAGGUGUAGCGGUGAAAUGCGUAGAUAUCUGGAGGAAUACCGGUGGCGAAGGCGGCAUCCUGGACCGGCAUUGACGCUGAGGAGCGAAAGCCAGGGGAGCAAACGGG
RNAcentral lists this ribosomal RNA (253 nucleotides) under uncultured bacterium. RNAcentral describes it as "partial 16S ribosomal RNA". It matches the Rfam family "Bacterial small subunit ribosomal RNA", at positions 524 to 776 of the family's 1533-position model. The record is from RNAcentral.